GGAGGAGCUACGAACACGACAGCAGGUGCUACGCCACAGUGCGGAUUCUCGCCUCGCCUCUCCCCUCAACCAGCAGCUGGCCCCACACUCACUCACUCACUCAGCAGCCCUCCUUCCGCAUUUGUGAGAAGACGCACGGCACACUCACACACCUGACUCCUCGGCCCCCCCUCCCCCUCCAGGACACACACACAGCACGUGUAUUGGCAACACGCGUGGCGUAUUUCUGUGCGCAUCGCAAGCACCCAGUACGGACAAGCUCUUGACUUCCUCCCUCACUAUUAUUAUUAUUACUGUCGUUGUUUAUAUCGACCCCCUCUCCCUCCUCCUCCCCUCUUCUCCCCUCCGCGCCGUUGCCUUUUCGCUUUCUGCACAUUCUUUCAUCGGAGUUGUUCGACGCUUCGUCGGGCAGCAUAUCUCAUCCGCAUCGCCGUCCGCCUCUCCAUCGUUAUCAAAAUCGUUGUUGUCCUUCGCGUGUGGGCGCGCGCAUCCGUGCGCAUUCGCCUCUCGCUGUCUGUCGCUCCCCGUGUGUGUGCGUGCGCGCGUGCGUGCCCUCCCUCCCAACACACGCACGCGCGCACGCCCUUAGCCGCUGCAGGCAUCAUCAGCUGUGCACCCAUCGCGCUGCGAUACGUGCGAUAUGUCGCUCUUCCCUCAAGGCCCCUCAUCGCCGCCGGCGAAAUGUCCGCAGGAGUGCGUUGCCUCCUCAUGUGUGUCGCUUCCCAUAACACCACCGUGUAUCGCCCGCCGCGUACUGCCUCUCUUCCCGCCACCGGGAUGCCACAUGUACGACGCCUACCGCAACUGCUUCCAGUACCGGCCAGAUGUGCGACGGAAGCUUGUCGAGGCGGUGCAGCGGGAGAGGCACCUGCGGCACCAGGCUGCCCUACACGCAGGAGACGCCGCCACUUUGAGUGCUGCGGUGUUGCGCAAGGAAGCAGUGGCGAUGGAUAGCACAUCGUGCUGCUGUGCUCUGGAUGCAGCGCAGCUAUUCGCCACCCCAGAGGACAUGCCGACCCCGCCUCUGCCGCUCUCUCGCUGCGAGCUGCACGAGGUCCUCCUGGCGCUGUCGCCGCGCUGGCAGAGCUACCCGUGGCGACUGUGCUUCGACACCGCCAGUGACGGAUUCAGCCUCUCCAGCCUCUACCGCCGCAUGGAGGCGGUGGAUGCGAAGCAGUCGCAGGUGAAGACCGUCGCCUUCGGGCUGUUCUUUGUGCACUCUGGCGAGGACGCCGCGCUGUCGAACGCGCAGGCCGCGAGCCCGGCGGACAGCCUCUCGGCCUCUUCGAUGAACGUCUCGUACGCGGUGUCGCCACCGGCUGCCGGCGCAUCUCAUUCAUUUCUCGAGGCGCACCGCUCGAGCUCCCGGCGGUACGGCGCCGCCCACGGCGCGCUGCAGCACAGUGUGCUCGGCUGCUUCACCCCUGAGGUGCCGUGCCUCGGUCGCCAUGCCGCUAACAUAUACUUUGGCUCCCCCGACACAUUUGUCUUCCGGCUGGAUCAGCUGAGCUGCGCGCCGUCGCGUGGGGCGUGGAUGGCGACAGAUGUGGAAAAGAAGCAGAGGCCGCAAGGGGCGCAACAGCAGGAGAAGCAGCAGCAUGGCAAGGCUGCCGAGCCUCAUACCUGUGCCCCGGCAACCUCCACAACAGCAGCCGGUGCAGCACCAGCGUACGGUUACGCGAGGCUUGUCCUCGCCGAUGAUGACAUUGCGGGAGUACCGGUACCGAUGCCGAGCCGGAUGACCAUUGAGCACUCCGUGGGCUCGAAGCACACUGUCGACAAGUCGAUGGUGCACUCGUCACCACUCCUGCGACCAAGCGAGGUGCCGCCGCUGCUGAAUCUGUCGCCUCUACGGGCAACCGUCGUUUUAUCCAGCAACGCGGCCGCCAUGUCCGGCGUCCGCGGCGCACCUGACAUCGUUGUGCCGUCCCCGCGGGGUAGGCGGCAUCGACUGCUGCGCCCUGUGCACCCGGCUCGAGUGGUGCCGCAGGCGCCGCUGUUGGAGAAGUUCACCUGGUGCGGCAACACGCAUAAUAGAAAGUUCAUCGUCUGCAACCCCCACUUCUUCGCCAUUGGAGGCGGCCAAAGCGGGGCGGCCCUAUACGUCGACGAGGCGCUGCAGUACGGCACGAGCAGCACUUGGUGCGAGACGUUCAGCGCGCCGUGUCUCUUCGGCCCGCGCAUGGGCAGCGCCGACGUAUCACCCGUAUCGUCGUUGAUGCAGUCGUACAUAUCUGGAAAAGACAGUCCCCGUGGCGGCCCUGCGCGCCAGGCCAGCGGCUUGCCACACGUCGAGUUCGCCAUCAGCCGCGUCGUGUGGUUCAGCAUCACAGAGGACAAGCGUAAUCUGCGCAUAAUGAGCGUCGCCGACGCAUCUUUACCCUCUGCUGAGGCGCACCGCUGUGGCUGUGGGCGUUACAGCUGCGCUAACGGCAGUCACACCACCACUCUCGACACGAUGUCAGCAGGGAAAUCAACAACGCCAUCGCCGCCACCCGCCUCCACGUUUCUUCACCGGUGCGACUUACUGCCGUUCGCGGCGCCAAUCUAGAGACAGGCGCACGCGCUUUACAAGCCGCAAGGGGUGAGGUGGGCGAGGUCGGCGAGGUGGGGUGGGGAGGGGCAGGGCGCCGGUCUGCAGAUCUCUCUCCAAAGCGGUGUGUGCAUGCGCGCGGCAGGCAUCCGUUACCCGCAUGAGGGCAUCCGUUCCUGCAUUCUUCUCCGGUCACGAUGGAGGCUGCACAUCACCGCUGCUUCUAUCACUCCUCUGCUCGUGUGUGUGUGUGUGUGUGUGUGUGCGUGUGUGUGUGCGUGCUUGCGUGUGUGUCUGUGCUCCUUUCCGCGAACUAGGCUGUAGCGCACGAGGACCGUAGCGUAGGGGUGCGCACUCAGAGCGAUAACACGUCCUGUAGGUACUUCAGCGCGCCGUCUACCCGUCUUGUGCACUCCGCUCUCGUGUUCUGCAUGUGC
This 2970-nucleotide unclassified non-coding RNA is filed under the name Leishmania donovani. Its description in RNAcentral is "gene:LdHU3.06.1110(CDS-product:TLD_putative)". The record is from RNAcentral. Lineage: Eukaryota; Euglenozoa; Kinetoplastea; Trypanosomatida; Trypanosomatidae.